ACAUGGAGAUGCCACCAGAGAUGGCAUACGCUAUUGGGAUUGUGAAGCUUGUGGCCAAGGACAUGACCAGGAGUGUCAUUCAGCCUGAAAAUACUGACAACUGAAAACUAGCGAGAGGUUCUAAGGUCAGCCUCCACAAUAGGAAUAAUUUGAACCUUUUAAAGAUAGCCAUACUGCUUGUUAUCUGGGUCAACUAGAAAAGGCAUAUUGGCUAAAGAUUUGUCAUAAUUUAAGAAUUCAGCAUGGUAUCUCCCACCCACUUUCACCUCAAAAUAAGUGGAUUUUUCCUGUGGUGUAACCUUUCUUUUUCUGCAAAAAGGACAAGAAAUAGAAGAGAACGUGAAUUAGCUUCUCGUAGAAAUUGGAACCAGUGGCUUUUCAUUAAAACGAAUCUGGCUUGUUCUCUACCAGUUGCCUAAAUACAGAGUGGGAAGCCAAAACACAGAGGUAUUUGCUUAAGGCUUGCAAAUAAUUUUGCUGAUCUCAAUGUUAAAAUUUAAGAUUAAAAUCUUUACAAACCACAAUUUAAUUCAAUAAGCCCAGAAAGUGACUAAAGUCAAUGAUUGUACUGAGAUUGUGUAUAUUCCCCAGAGAUUAAUUUUGUCAGAAAUAAGAAAGCUGCCUAGCCUAUUUUUAAAGAGCCAAAUUGUGUUUUAGACUUUUAAGUUUCGUGUAUCUUAGCAACCCACAGAAUACGUACGCCUGAGAAAAGAGGAGAUUCACACUGCUGCAUGCUACAUUUUAUGGAAAUGUUAAGUUUAUGAUCUCCCAUUAUAUUUCUGGAUGAGAUAUUCCCUCUCCAAAAUGUAAUAAAGCUGCUUAAUUGUAUUGUAUUUCAUGGAAGAAAGGUACUUUGAGGUUUUCUUUGGUUUACAGAAUUUACAUAAUACUUUAGAGGAAUAAAUCAAAGAUUUCAGUACAUAGCUGGUACAAAGUUUUCACCACAGAGUUUAUAUAUAAUUGUAGAUUAUAAGGAGGCAUUUAUAAAGAUGAGAAUGUCUGUGUUACUUAUCUAAUUUCAUAUUUAGAGCUAACAAUUUUUAGGGAAAUUAAAUAUUCUGGGACUAGACAUCAUAUAUGUGUGUAAAUCAAUUCGUUAUACAUUUACUGAGCAUCUCCUGUGUGCCAUCCACUGUGCAAAGAACUAAAGAGAUCCAGAUGAAAAUGGCAGUUUCUGUCAUCAAUGUACUAACAUUCUAAGGGAUAAAACAAACUAAAAAAAGAAAUCAUACAAUGUAAUGAGAGAAAUAACAAAAGAUGUGUACUGGGAUAUCAUAUCUAUUGCAGUAUAAAGACACGACAUAUGCAGGCCUAAAUAGAUAACUUGUGUAUAGAAAAUACAUCAUUUUGAGCUCCUCUGCUCUAAACAGGCCAGCCCUGGUGGUCUAGUGGUUAAGAUCUGGCACUCUCAUUGCCACAGUUUGGAUUCAUUUCUGGUCGGGGAACCACACCACCUGUCUGUCGGUUGUCACACUGUGACAGCUAUGUGUGGCUGGGAUGCUGCAAGCUAUGCCACUGGUAUUUCAAAUACCAGCAGGGUCACCCAUAGUGGACAGGUUUCAGCAGAGCUUCCAGACUAAGGCUGGGAAGAAGGACCUGGUCACUCACUUCUGAAAACAUUGGCCAUGAAACCCUGUGAACAGCAGGGGAGCAUUGUCUGAUACAGCAUGGGAAGAUGCGAGGAUGGUGCCAAAAAGAGCGGGCAGGGUUUGGCUCUGCUGACCACGAGGUCACUGAGAGUGGAAAUCAACUCUCGGGUGCGAACAAACCCUAAACGGAUACAACACAUAAAUAUUUACAACUAAGAGGGGGAAAAAACUCCAUGUUUAUCUUGAAUCCUACUUAAUAGAUAUUUGGUAAAAUAGAUACUUUUUUCCCAAGUAGUUUGUUUGUCG
This 1895-nucleotide long non-coding RNA is filed under the name Equus asinus (donkey). Its description in RNAcentral is "lncRNA (ENSEASG00005029418.1)". Lineage: Eukaryota; Metazoa; Chordata; Mammalia; Perissodactyla; Equidae. The record is from RNAcentral.